ACCUUCAGCAGGGCUGCGGCUACCAUGUUCUCUCGCGCGGGCGUCGCUGGGCUGUCGGCCUGGACCUUGCAGCCGCAAUGGAUUCAAGUUCGAAAUAUGGCAACUUUGAAAGAUAUUACCAGGAGACUAAAGUCCAUCAAAAACAUCCAGAAAAUUACCAAGUCUAUGAAAAUGGUAGCAGCAGCAAAAUAUGCCCGAGCUGAGAGAGAGCUGAAACCAGCUCGAAUAUAUGGAUUGGGAUCUUUAGCUCUGUAUGAAAAAGCUGAUAUCAAGGGGCCUGAAGACAAGAAGAAACACCUCCUUAUUGGUGUGUCCUCAGAUCGAGGACUGUGUGGUGCUAUUCAUUCCUCCAUCGCUAAACAGAUGAAAAGCGAGGUUGCUACACUAACAGCAGCUGGGAAAGAAGUUAUGCUUGUUGGAGUUGGUGACAAAAUCAGAGGCAUACUUUAUAGGACUCAUUCUGACCAGUUUCUGGUGGCAUUCAAAGAAGUGGGAAGAAAGCCCCCCACUUUUGGAGAUGCGUCAGUCAUUGCCCUUGAAUUACUAAAUUCUGGAUAUGAAUUUGAUGAAGGCUCCAUCAUCUUUAAUAAAUUCAGGUCUGUCAUCUCCUAUAAGACAGAAG
RNAcentral lists this small RNA (622 nucleotides) under Pongo abelii (Sumatran orangutan). RNAcentral's name for it is "processed transcript". The record is from RNAcentral. Lineage: Eukaryota; Metazoa; Chordata; Mammalia; Primates; Hominidae.